AAUAGAUACCCUGGUAGUCCACGCCGUAAACGUUGGGCGCUAGAUGUGGGGACCUUUCCACGGUUUCCGUGUCGUAGCUAACGCAUUAAGCGCCCCGCCUGGGGAGUACGGCCGCAAGGCUAAAACUCAAAGGAAUUGACGGGGGCCCGCACAAGCGGCGGAGCAUGCGGAUUAAUUCGAUGCAACGCGAAGAACCUUACCAAGGCUUGACAUACACGAGAACGGGCCAGAAAUGGUCAACUCUUUGGACACUCGUGAACAGGUGGUGCAUGGUUGUCGUCAGCUCGUGUCGUGAGAUGUUGGGUUAAGUCCCGCAACGAGCGCAACCCUCGUCGCAUGUUGCCAGCACGUUAUGGUGGGGACUCAUGUGAGACUGCCGGGGUCAACUCGGAGGAAGGUGGGGAUGACGUCAAAUCAUCAUGCCCCUUAUGUCCUGGGCUUCACGCAUGCUACAAUGGCCGGUACAAAGGGCUGCGAUGUCGUAAGGCGGAGCGAAUCCCAAAAAGCCGGUCUCAGUUCGGAUUGAGGU
RNAcentral lists this ribosomal RNA (529 nucleotides) under uncultured bacterium. Its description in RNAcentral is "bacterial SSU rRNA". It matches the Rfam family "Bacterial small subunit ribosomal RNA", at positions 777 to 1304 of the family's 1533-position model. The record is from RNAcentral.